CCUACGGGGGGCAGCAGUGGGGAAUAUUGCACAAUGGGGGAAACCCUGAUGCAGCAACGCCGCGUGAGCGAUGAAGGCCUUCGGGUCGUAAAGCUCUGUCCUAUGGGAAGAAUACUGACGGUACCUUAGGAGGAAGCCCCGGCUAACUACGUGCCAGCAGCCGCGGUAAUACGUAGGGGGCAAGCGUUAUCCGGAAUCACUGGGUGUAAAGGGUGCGUAGGCGGUAGGGCAAGUCAGAUGUGAAAGCCCGGGGCUCAACCCCGGGAUUGCAUUUGAAACUGUCUUAGUAGAGUGCAGGGGAGGAAAGCGGAAUGCGUAGGGGAGCGGGGAAAUGCGUAGAUAUUAGGAAGAACACCAGUGGCGAAGGCGGCUUUCUGGAGUGUAACUGACGCUGAGGCACGAAAGCGUGGGGAGCGAACAGGAUUAGAUACCCCUGUAGUG
RNAcentral lists this ribosomal RNA (441 nucleotides) under uncultured bacterium. Its description in RNAcentral is "bacterial SSU rRNA". It matches the Rfam family "Bacterial small subunit ribosomal RNA", at positions 338 to 795 of the family's 1533-position model. The record is from RNAcentral.